Molecule: unclassified non-coding RNA, 21 nt
Filed under: Dictyostelium discoideum
Lineage: Eukaryota; Evosea; Eumycetozoa; Dictyosteliales; Dictyosteliaceae
Source: RNAcentral
UGAUAGCUCUAAUGUCGAUGU